RNAcentral lists this ribosomal RNA (457 nucleotides) under uncultured soil bacterium. RNAcentral's name for it is "bacterial SSU rRNA". It matches the Rfam family "Bacterial small subunit ribosomal RNA", at positions 26 to 473 of the family's 1533-position model. The record is from RNAcentral.
AGGACGAACGCUGGCGGCGUGCUUAACACAUGCAAGUCGAGCGGAAAGGCCUUUCGGGGUACUCGAGCGGCGAACGGGUGAGUAACACGUGAGUAAUCUGCCCAUCGCUUCAGGAUAGCCAUCGGAAACGGUGAUUAAUACUGGAUAUGACAUUCCUUCGCAUGUUGGGGUGUGGUAAAGUUUUUUCGGCGGUGGAUGUGCUCGCGGCCUAUCAGCUUGUUGGUGGGUAAUGGCCUACCAAGGCUUUGACGGGUAGCCGGCCUGGAGAGGGUGACCGGCCACGACUGGGACUGAGACACGGCCCAGACCUCCGUACGGGAGCAGCAGGUGGGAAUAGUUGGACAAGUGGGCGGAAGCCUGACUCCAGCCAACGCCGCGUGGAGGAGUGACGGGUCCGUUCGGGUUCGUAAACCGUUCCUUUCGUAGACACGAGUACGUAAGUUUUGUACGUUUUGGU